Molecule: unclassified non-coding RNA, 363 nt
Filed under: uncultured bacterium
Lineage: Bacteria
Description: contains 16S-23S intergenic spacer region
Source: RNAcentral
UCCCCGUUGGCCGGGGCAGUUUCGCCUGAAAUUACAACAGACGACAAGGGUUGCGCUCGUUGCGGGACUUAACCCAACAUCUCACGACACGAGCUGACGACGGCCAUGCAGUACCUGUCACCAGGUUCCAAAAGGCACAGCUCUGUUUCCAGAGCCUUCCUGGGAUGUCAAGCCUUGGUAAGGUUCUUCGCUUACCUUCGAAUUAAACCACAUGCUCCACCGCUUGUGCGGGUCCCCGUCAAUUCCUUUGAGUUUUAAGCUUGCGCUCGUACUCCCCAGGCGGGAUGCUUAUCGCGUUAGCUUCUCAGCCCAAGGGGUCGAUACCUCGAACUAAAAGCAUCCAUCGUUUACGGCGUGGACUAC